CGAAACUCUUAAGCAAGUUACAGAUAUUAACGUGGAAGAUAUAUUGUAGAUAUAUUAGAUAUGGAUGGAAAUAAUAAAUAAAUAAGAGAUAUGAAAUUUUAAAACUGCUAUGGAUAGUAGAAGAUACCGUUGUCCCUAAGGGGACACCAAGCGAUGCGACCUCCUGUGUGUGAACAGUGAGGUCUCGAGUUCAAACUCCACUGCUCUCUCUCCCCA
Molecule: long non-coding RNA, 216 nt
Filed under: Salvia miltiorrhiza (redroot sage)
Lineage: Eukaryota; Viridiplantae; Streptophyta; Magnoliopsida; Lamiales; Lamiaceae
Description: long non-coding RNA (SMIL_LNC008794)
Source: RNAcentral